CAGCAGCCGCGGUAACACGAAGGGGGCUAGCGUUGUUCGGAUUCACUGGGCGUAAAGGGCGCGUAGGCGGACUGAUAAGUCAGGGGUGAAAUCCCAAGGCUCAACCUUGGAACUGCCUUUGAUACUGUUUGUCUUGAGUUCGAGAGAGGUAAGUGGAACUGCGAGUGUAGAGGUGAAAUUCGUAGAUAUUCGCAAGAACACCAGUGGCGAAGGCGGCUUACUGGCUCGAAACUGACGCUGAGGCGCGAAAGCGUGGGGAGCAAACAGGAUUAGAUACCCCAGUAGUCCCUGUCUCUUAUAC
This 301-nucleotide ribosomal RNA is filed under the name uncultured bacterium. Its description in RNAcentral is "partial 16S ribosomal RNA". It matches the Rfam family "Bacterial small subunit ribosomal RNA", at positions 509 to 807 of the family's 1533-position model. The record is from RNAcentral.